GGAUUGAAGGCUGAAAUUCGCCUUCAUGAAGCCGGAAUUGCUAGUAAUGGCAGGUCAGCAUACUGCCGUGAAUACGUUCCCGGGCCUUGUACACACCGCCCGUCACACCAUGAGAGUUGGGAAUACCCGAAGCCUGUGAGCUAACCUUUAGAGGCAGCAGUCGAAGGUAGAAUCAAUGAUUGGGGUGAAGUCGUAACAAGGUACC
This 205-nucleotide ribosomal RNA is filed under the name uncultured bacterium. Its description in RNAcentral is "partial 16S ribosomal RNA". It matches the Rfam family "Bacterial small subunit ribosomal RNA", at positions 1295 to 1500 of the family's 1533-position model. The record is from RNAcentral.